This 584-nucleotide ribosomal RNA is filed under the name Pseudomonas sp. StFRB274. RNAcentral describes it as "bacterial SSU rRNA". It matches the Rfam family "Bacterial small subunit ribosomal RNA", at positions 102 to 682 of the family's 1533-position model. Lineage: Bacteria; Pseudomonadati; Pseudomonadota; Gammaproteobacteria; Pseudomonadales; Pseudomonadaceae. The record is from RNAcentral. RNAcentral also lists the same sequence under 2 other names.
ACGGGUGAGUAAUGCCUAGGAAUCUGCCUGGUAGUGGGGGACAACGUUUCGAAAGGAACGCUAAUACCGCAUACGUCCUACGGGAGAAAGCAGGGGACCUUCGGGCCUUGCGCUAUCAGAUGAGCCUAGGUCGGAUUAGCUAGUUGGUGAGGUAAUGGCUCACCAAGGCGACGAUCCGUAACUGGUCUGAGAGGAUGAUCAGUCACACUGGAACUGAGACACGGUCCAGACUCCUACGGGAGGCAGCAGUGGGGAAUAUUGGACAAUGGGCGAAAGCCUGAUCCAGCCAUGCCGCGUGUGUGAAGAAGGUCUUCGGAUUGUAAAGCACUUUAAGUUGGGAGGAAGGGUUGUAGAUUAAUACUCUGCAAUUUUGACGUUACCGACAGAAUAAGCACCGGCUAACUCUGUGCCAGCAGCCGCGGUAAUACAGAGGGUGCAAGCGUUAAUCGGAAUUACUGGGCGUAAAGCGCGCGUAGGUGGUUUGUUAAGUUGGAUGUGAAAUCCCCGGGCUCAACCUGGGAACUGCAUCCAAAACUGGCAAGCUAGAGUAUGGUAGAGGGUGGUGGAAUUUCCUGUGUAGCGGU